Molecule: long non-coding RNA, 652 nt
Organism: Vitis vinifera (wine grape)
Lineage: Eukaryota; Viridiplantae; Streptophyta; Magnoliopsida; Vitales; Vitaceae
Exons: 3
Source: RefSeq, a predicted model, not a curated record
AUAUAAAUUGCAAUCCAUUAGACAGGAAGUGUCCCCCAAAAUGUCAGCUACAGGAGGAAAGACCAUAGUGAAGGGCUGUUUGGAUCUGCAAAAGUUGUCAAUACUGACCAGUCUUAUCUUCCAUGAUGAGUAUUAAAGGGUGGGUGAUGGGCCCAUUGCAGGAUCUUCGUCCUAUGCUGAUGAUGAAGUUGGUGCUUGUGGUGCAACUGGGGAUGGUGAUAUCAUGAUGCGUUUCCUUCCAUGCUAUCAAGUUGUGGAGAGUAUGCGACUGGGGAUGGAGCCAAAGCUUGCUGCCCAAGAUGCCAUAAAGCGAAUUGCAAGAAAAUUUCCAGAUUUUGUUGGGGCAGUUUUGGCCAUCAAUAAGAAUGGUCUGCAUGCUGGUGCUUGCCAUGGAUGGACAUUUCAAUACUCAGUGAGAAGCCCGGAAAUGGAGGAUGUGGAGGUAUUCACUGUAUUCCCCUGAAAUAGCAACUGCCUGCAAUUAUGAAAAGCCUAAUGAGUUGGUUGUGCAAUAUUAUUGAUUAUUGUUGAUGAUUUUGGCACCGUUUUUAUUUGGCUAAUAAUACAAAAUUGAUGUAAUUUCCAAUGUUAUUAGACACCUGUAUUUGUAGAAGAUACUUUUUGGUAUCUAUAUGUUUUAAUUGUUCAUAAA